GCAAGGGGAGUGGCAGACGGGUGAGUAACGCGUGGGAAUCUACCGUACCCUACGGAAUAACGCAUGGAAACGUGUGCUAAUACCGUAUACGCCCUACGGGGGAAAGAUUUAUCGGGGUAUGAUGAGCCCGCGUUGGAUUAGCUAGUUGGUGGGGUAAAGGCCUACCAAGGCGACGAUCCAUAGCUGGUCUGAGAGGAUGAUCAGCCACAUUGGGACUGAGACACGGCCCAAACUCCUACGGGAGGCAGCAGUGGGGAAUAUUGGACAAUGGGCGCAAGCUCUGAUCCAGCCAUGCCGCGUGAGUGAUGAAGGUCUUAGGAUUGUAAAGCUCUUUCACCGGAGAAGAUAAUGACGGUAUCCGGAGAAGAAGCCCCGGCUA
RNAcentral lists this ribosomal RNA (379 nucleotides) under bacterium STB02. RNAcentral's name for it is "bacterial SSU rRNA". It matches the Rfam family "Bacterial small subunit ribosomal RNA", at positions 86 to 499 of the family's 1533-position model. The record is from RNAcentral.